GACGAACGCUGGCGGCGUGCUUAACACAUGCAAGUCGAACGGAAAGGCCCUGCUUUUGUGGGGUGCUCGAGUGGCGAACGGGUGAGUAACACGUGAGUAACCUGCCCUUGACUUUGGGAUAACUUCAGGAAACUGGGGCUAAUACCGGAUAGGAGCUCCUGCUGCAUGGUGGGGGUUGGAAAGUUUCGGCGGUUGGGGAUGGACUCGCGGCUUAUCAGCUUGUUGGUGAGGUAGUGGCUUACCAAGGCUUUGACGGGUAGCCGGCCUGAGAGGGUGACCGGGCACCUUGGGACUGAGAGACGGACCAGACGCCUACGGGAGGCAGCAGUGGGGAAUAUUGCACAAUGGGCGGAAGCCUGAUGCAGCAACGCCGGGUGCGGGAUGACGUGCUUCGGGUUGUAAACCGCUUUGGCCUGUGACGAAGCGUGAGUGACGGUAACGGGUAAAGAAGCACCGGCUAACUACGUG
RNAcentral lists this ribosomal RNA (468 nucleotides) under uncultured bacterium. RNAcentral's name for it is "partial 16S ribosomal RNA". It matches the Rfam family "Bacterial small subunit ribosomal RNA", at positions 28 to 507 of the family's 1533-position model. The record is from RNAcentral.